This is a transfer RNA of Geoglobus ahangari, 73 nucleotides long. It matches the Rfam family "tRNA". From Rfam's summary of the family: Transfer RNA (tRNA) molecules are approximately 80 nucleotides in length. Their secondary structure includes four short double-helical elements and three loops (D, anti-codon, and T loops). Further hydrogen bonds mediate the characteristic L-shaped molecular structure. tRNAs have two regions of fundamental functional importance: the anti-codon, which is responsible for specific mRNA codon recognition, and the 3' end, to which the tRNAs corresponding amino acid is attached (by aminoacyl-tRNA synthetases). tRNAs cope with the degeneracy of the genetic code in two manners: having more than one tRNA (with a specific anti-codon) for a particular amino acid; and 'wobble' base-pairing, i.e. permitting non-standard base-pairing at the 3rd anti-codon position. Lineage: Archaea; Methanobacteriati; Methanobacteriota; Archaeoglobi; Archaeoglobales; Archaeoglobaceae. The record is from Rfam.
GGGUCCGUGGUCUAGUGGUUAUGACGCUGCCCUUACGAGGCAGUGAUCCCCGGUUCGAAUCCGGGCGGACCCA